This 526-nucleotide ribosomal RNA is filed under the name uncultured bacterium. RNAcentral describes it as "bacterial SSU rRNA". It matches the Rfam family "Bacterial small subunit ribosomal RNA", at positions 501 to 1028 of the family's 1533-position model. The record is from RNAcentral.
CUACGUGCCAGCAGCCGCGGUAAUACGUAGGUCCCGAGCGUUGUCCGGAUUUAUUGGGCGUAAAGCGAGCGCAGGCGGUUAGAUAAGUCUGAAGUUAAAGGCUGUGGCUUAACCAUAGUACGCUUUGGAAACUGUUUAACUUGAGUGCAAGAGGGGAGAGUGGAAUUCCAUGUGUAGCGGUGAAAUGCGUAGAUAUAUGGAGGAACACCGGUGGCGAAAGCGGCUCUCUGGCUUGUAACUGACGCUGAGGCUCGAAAGCGUGGGGAGCAGACAGGAUUAGAUACCCUGGUAGUCCACGCCGUAAACGAUGAGUGCUGGGUGUUAGACCCUUUCCGGGGUUUAGUGCCGCAGCUAACGCAUUAAGCACUCCGCCUGGGGAGUACGACCGCAAGGUUGAAACUCAAAGGAAUUGACGGGGGCCCGCACAAGCGGUGGAGCAUGUGGUUUAAUUCGAAGCAACGCGAAGAACCUUACCAGGUCUUGACAUCCCUCUGACCGCUCUAGAGAUAGAGUUUUCUUCGGGACA